UCUCUAGAAAGUGUUGUGGCUAGCUAAUAAUAUGUUAAAUGAAUUACAAAUUUUAAAAAAAUUCUGACACUGAACUGCACAUAUACCGAUAUGAAUAACAGUGUAUUGAAGUCAGUGAAUUAAUUACGUAAAAUGUAUUAUAACUGAAGUUCAGGGACAGCCAAGGUCAGGUAGUGAGGAGCAGAGACCACAGGGACCACCAGGGACAGCCAGUGUACAUGCAGGUUCCGGUUCUUCUGUGCAGCAGAACAUGUCCAGGUCUUUCCCAGGACUUUUUAGAGAAAGGCAGAAUUCCCGUGCCGUACGGACAACAAAAAAAAGACCUGCCAGCAAAAUAAACCAUGUGCAUUUUUUCUUGUUGGACCGUCCACGUGAUAAAACCCCCAAACAGUCCGAAGAGCUCGCCCUCUUACAGGCCGGGAUGGGGAGAAGGACCAUUCAGGUCCCUGAGGGUGCUUGCCACAAGGAGAUAACUUAUCUUCUUUGUGAAGUCUACUUCAAAAUGAAUGAGCUGGAGGG
This is a long non-coding RNA of Perca fluviatilis (European perch), 519 nucleotides long. RefSeq lists it as uncharacterized. The record is from RefSeq and is a predicted model, not a curated record. The transcript has 3 exons. Lineage: Eukaryota; Metazoa; Chordata; Actinopteri; Perciformes; Percidae.